Molecule: ribosomal RNA, 419 nt
Filed under: uncultured bacterium
Lineage: Bacteria
Description: bacterial SSU rRNA
Rfam family: Bacterial small subunit ribosomal RNA
Source: RNAcentral
AUUGAACGCUGGCGGCAUGCCUUACACAUGCAAGUCGAACGGCAGCACGGGAGCAAUCCUGGUGGCGAGUGGCGAACGGGUGAGUAAUAUAUCGGAACGUGCCCAGUCGUGGGGGAUAACGUAGCGAAAGCUACGCUAAUACCGCAUACGAUCUAUGGAUGAAAGCGGGGGAUCGCAAGACCUCGCGCGAUUGGAGCGGCCGAUAUCAGAUUAGGUAGUUGGUGAGGUAAAGGCUCACCAAGCCGACGAUCUGUAGCUGGUCUGAGAGGACGACCAGCCACACUGGGACUGAGACACGGCCCAGACUCCUACGGGAGGCAGCAGUGGGGAAUUUUUGGGACAAUGGGCGCAAGCCUGAUCCAGCAAUGCCGCGUGCAGGAUGAGGGCCUUCGGUUGUAACGUAGCUUUGUUACGGUAAC